CUGGGACCUGCUUAUCUUUGCAACUCGACUGUUGUACUGCACCAGAUCUCUACUGUGUUGUUCCUCAUCGCUGGAGCUCGCCGGAGGAAUCCGAGCGAGGAAGCAACAAGCCGGCGCUGACCUUUCCGACACCUCUCUGGGUUUCUCCGAGCCCAGCCAUACACCGCAAAUAACAAGAGGUCAGAUGCUGUCAGACCUGCAGAGUUUCACCAGCAAUUUCUGUUUUUAGUUCUUUGAUCAAAGUUUGGUCAGAUCUCCUAAUAUUUCCUUAUGUGGAUCAGAAUUAAAUUUUGUUUGCUAAUGCUCCCGUGAAGUACUUUAGAAUGUUUUACCACAUUAAAAGGUAAAUGUAAAUUUAAAUAUAAGUUGUUAUCAAAAUGUGAAUAAAAACAUA
Long non-coding RNA from Chiloscyllium plagiosum (whitespotted bambooshark), 394 nucleotides. RefSeq lists it as uncharacterized. NCBI's taxonomy places the organism in Eukaryota, Metazoa, Chordata, Chondrichthyes, Orectolobiformes, Hemiscylliidae. The record is from RefSeq and is a predicted model, not a curated record.